GCCUCGGUGGAGUAAUGGUAGAACACGCGCCCAAGGAAUGGAUGAAACGCGGGUUCGAUUCCUGCCUGAGGCC
Molecule: non-coding RNA, 73 nt
Organism: Parelaphostrongylus tenuis
Lineage: Eukaryota; Metazoa; Nematoda; Chromadorea; Rhabditida; Metastrongylidae
Source: the annotation of a GenBank genome assembly